Molecule: ribosomal RNA, 1490 nt
Filed under: Lactiplantibacillus plantarum subsp. plantarum
Lineage: Bacteria; Bacillati; Bacillota; Bacilli; Lactobacillales; Lactobacillaceae
Description: bacterial SSU rRNA
Rfam family: Bacterial small subunit ribosomal RNA
Source: RNAcentral
GACGAACGCUGGCGGCGUGCCUAAUACAUGCAAGUCGAACGAACUCUGGUAUUGAUUGGUGCUUGCAUCAUGAUUUACAUUUGAGUGAGUGGCGAACUGGUGAGUAACACGUGGGAAACCUGCCCAGAAGCGGGGGAUAACACCUGGAAACAGAUGCUAAUACCGCAUAACAACUUGGACCGCAUGGUCCGAGUUUGAAAGAUGGCUUCGGCUAUCACUUUUGGAUGGUCCCGCGGCGUAUUAGCUAGAUGGUGGGGUAACGGCUCACCAUGGCAAUGAUACGUAGCCGACCUGAGAGGGUAAUCGGCCACAUUGGGACUGAGACACGGCCCAAACUCCUACGGGAGGCAGCAGUAGGGAAUCUUCCACAAUGGACGAAAGUCUGAUGGAGCAACGCCGCGUGAGUGAAGAAGGGUUUCGGCUCGUAAAACUCUGUUGUUAAAGAAGAACAUAUCUGAGAGUAACUGUUCAGGUAUUGACGGUAUUUAACCAGAAAGCCACGGCUAACUACGUGCCAGCAGCCGCGGUAAUACGUAGGUGGCAAGCGUUGUCCGGAUUUAUUGGGCGUAAAGCGAGCGCAGGCGGUUUUUUAAGUCUGAUGUGAAAGCCUUCGGCUCAACCGAAGAAGUGCAUCGGAAACUGGGAAACUUGAGUGCAGAAGAGGACAGUGGAACUCCAUGUGUAGCGGUGAAAUGCGUAGAUAUAUGGAAGAACACCAGUGGCGAAGGCGGCUGUCUGGUCUGUAACUGACGCUGAGGCUCGAAAGUAUGGGUAGCAAACAGGAUUAGAUACCCUGGUAGUCCAUACCGUAAACGAUGAAUGCUAAGUGUUGGAGGGUUUCCGCCCUUCAGUGCUGCAGCUAACGCAUUAAGCAUUCCGCCUGGGGAGUACGGCCGCAAGGCUGAAACUCAAAGGAAUUGACGGGGGCCCGCACAAGCGGUGGAGCAUGUGGUUUAAUUCGAAGCUACGCGAAGAACCUUACCAGGUCUUGACAUACUAUGCAAAUCUAAGAGAUUAGACGUUCCCUUCGGGGACAUGGAUACAGGUGGUGCAUGGUGUGUCGUCAGCUCGUGUCGUGAGAUGUUGGGUUAAGUCCCGCAACGAGCGCAACCCUUAUUAUCAGUUGCCAGCAUUAAGUUGGGCACUCUGGUGAGACUGCCGGUGACAAACCGGAGGAAGGUGGGGAUGACGUCAAAUCAUCAUGCCCCUUAUGACCUGGGCUACACACGUGCUACAAUGGAUGGUACAACGAGUUGCGAACUCGCGAGAGUAAGCUAAUCUCUUAAAGCCAUUCUCAGUUCGGAUUGUAGGCUGCAACUCGCCUACAUGAAGUCGGAAUCGCUAGUAAUCGCGGAUCAGCAUGCCGCGGUGAAUACGUUCCCGGGCCUUGUACACACCGCCCGUCACACCAUGAGAGUUUGUAACACCCAAAGUCGGUGGGGUAACCUUUUAGGAACCAGCCGCCUAAGGUGGGACAGAUGAUUAGGGUG